RNAcentral lists this ribosomal RNA (216 nucleotides) under Glomeromycotina sp. RNAcentral's name for it is "partial small subunit ribosomal RNA". The stretch from base 40 to 216 matches the Rfam family "Eukaryotic small subunit ribosomal RNA", at positions 686 to 864 of the family's 1831-position model. Lineage: Eukaryota; Fungi; Glomeromycota. The record is from RNAcentral.
GGGUCAGUAGGUUGGUCGUGCCACCGGUACGUACUGGUCUCACUGAUUCCUCCUACCUGAAGAACCGUAAUGCCAUUAAUUUGGUGUUGCGGGGAAACAGGACUGUUACUUUGAAAAAAUUAGAGUGUUUAAAGCAGGCUAACGCUUGAAUACAUUAGCAUGGAAUAAUGAAAUAGGACGAUCGAUCCUAUUUUGUUGGUUUCUAGGAUUGACGUA